AGUGAACGCUGGCGGCAUGCCUUACACAUGCAAGUCGAACGGCAGCACGGGUGCUUGCAGCUGGUGGCGAGUGGCGAACGGGUGAGUAAUACAUCGGAACAUGUCCUGUAGUGGGGGAGAGCCCGGCGAAAGCCGGAUUAAUACCGCAUACGAACUACGGAUGAGAGCGGGGGACCGUCAGGCCUCGCGCUAGAGGGUUGGCCUAUGCCGGAGUAGCUAGUUGGAGGGGUAAAGGCCUACCAAGGCGACGAUCAGUAGCUGGUCUGAGAGGACGACCAGCCACACUGGGACUGAGACACGGCCCAGACUCCUACGGGAGGCAGCAGUGGGGAAUUUUGGACAAUGGGCGAAAGCCUGAUCCAGCAAUGCCGCGUGUGUGAAGAAGGCCUUCGGGUUGUAAAGCACUUUUGUCCGGAAAGAAAUCCUUGGCCCUAAUACGGUCGGGUGAUGACGGUACCGGAAGAAUAAGCACCGGCUAACUACGUG
This 486-nucleotide ribosomal RNA is filed under the name uncultured bacterium. RNAcentral describes it as "partial 16S ribosomal RNA". It matches the Rfam family "Bacterial small subunit ribosomal RNA", at positions 29 to 507 of the family's 1533-position model. The record is from RNAcentral.